UCGGACAUGGUGUACGGAACACCACCAGCUUUCUUAAAAUCUCCAGACAAUAAGUCGCUGGCAGUCCGGGGUUCGACUCCCCGUGUCCGAA
Non-coding RNA from Mycena olivaceomarginata, 91 nucleotides. The record is from the annotation of a GenBank genome assembly. Lineage: Eukaryota; Fungi; Basidiomycota; Agaricomycetes; Agaricales; Mycenaceae.